AUACCAGCUCUUCAAGUGGUCGGGAUAAUUAUUGGGCUUAAAGCGUCCGUAGCCGGUUUAGUUAGUUCCUGGUAAAAUCGGGUAGCUUAACUAUCUGUAUGCUAGGAAUACUGCUAUACUAGAGGGCGGGAGAGGUUUGAGGUACUACAGGGGUAGGGGUGAAAUCUUAUAAUCCUUGUAGGACCACCAGUGGCGAAGGCGUCAGACUGGAACGUGCCUGACGGUGAGGGACGAAAGCCAGGGGAGCGAACCGGAUUAGAUACCCGUGUAGUCC
Molecule: ribosomal RNA, 274 nt
Filed under: uncultured bacterium
Lineage: Bacteria
Description: partial 16S ribosomal RNA
Rfam family: Archaeal small subunit ribosomal RNA
Source: RNAcentral